CAAGGGCAUGCCUCAGUAGCGGCGAGUGAGCGGCAAGAGCUCAGAUUUGAAAUCUCACCUAGUGUGCGAGUUGUAAAUUGCAGGUUGGAGUCUCGGGUUAGACGUGUGUGCAAGUCCCUUGGAACAGGGCGCCACUGAGGGUGAGAGCCCCGUAGCGUGCAUGUCGACACCUGUGAGGCCCUUCUGACGAGUCGAGUUGUUUGGGAAUGCAGCUCUAAGUGGGUGGUAAAUUCCAUCUAAGGCUAAAUAUUGGCGAGAGACCGAUAGCGAACAAGUACUGUGAAGGAAAGAUGAAAAGCACUUUGAAAAGAGAGUGAAACAGCACGUGAAAUUGUUGAAAGGGAAGGGUAUUGGGCUCGACAUGGGAUUUACGCAUCGUUGCCUCUCGUGGGCGGCGCUCUGGGUUUUUCCUGGGCCAGCAUCGGUUUUCGUUGCAGGAUAAGGACAAUUGGAAUGUGGCUCCUCGGAGUGUUAUAGCCUUUUGUAGAUGCUGCGUAUGGGGACCGAGGGCUGCGGCGGACUCGUUUCGUCUCGGAUGCUGGCACAACGGCGCAAUACCGCCCGUCUUGAAACACGGACCCAA
RNAcentral lists this ribosomal RNA (583 nucleotides) under Pichia kluyveri. RNAcentral's name for it is "eukaryotic LSU rRNA". It matches the Rfam family "Eukaryotic large subunit ribosomal RNA", at positions 66 to 670 of the family's 3401-position model. Lineage: Eukaryota; Fungi; Ascomycota; Pichiomycetes; Pichiales; Pichiaceae. The record is from RNAcentral.